GCCUUCGUGGUGUAAUGGUAGCCCACUCGCACGUAUUCGAGAAGUCCAGGUUCGAGUCCCGGCGAAGGCA
RNAcentral lists this transfer RNA (70 nucleotides) under Stegodyphus mimosarum. It matches the Rfam family "tRNA". From Rfam's summary of the family: Transfer RNA (tRNA) molecules are approximately 80 nucleotides in length. Their secondary structure includes four short double-helical elements and three loops (D, anti-codon, and T loops). The record is from Rfam by way of RNAcentral. Lineage: Eukaryota; Metazoa; Arthropoda; Arachnida; Araneae; Eresidae.